Molecule: transfer RNA, 72 nt
Filed under: Camelus ferus (Wild Bactrian camel)
Lineage: Eukaryota; Metazoa; Chordata; Mammalia; Artiodactyla; Camelidae
Rfam family: tRNA
About the family: Transfer RNA (tRNA) molecules are approximately 80 nucleotides in length. Their secondary structure includes four short double-helical elements and three loops (D, anti-codon, and T loops).
Source: Rfam by way of RNAcentral
GUGGGUAUAACUCAGUGGUAAAGUGCAUGCUUAGCAUGCACCAGGCCCUGGGUUCAAUCCCCAGUACCUCCA